This 497-nucleotide ribosomal RNA is filed under the name uncultured bacterium. RNAcentral's name for it is "partial 16S ribosomal RNA". It matches the Rfam family "Bacterial small subunit ribosomal RNA", at positions 28 to 507 of the family's 1533-position model. The record is from RNAcentral.
GAUGAACGCUGGCGGCGUGCCUAAUACAUGCAAGUCGAGCGAACGGACGAGAAGCGGGCUUCUCGGAUGUUAGCGGCGGACGGGUGAGUAACACGUGGAUAACCUAGCGAUAAGACUGGGAUAACUUCGGGAAACCGUAGCUAAUACCGGAUAAUGUUUUGAACCGCAGGGUUCAAAAGUGAAAGACGGUCUUGCUGUCACUGAUAGAUGGAUCCGCGCGGCAUUAGCUAGUUGGUAAGGUAACGGCUUACCAAGGCAACGAUGCAUAGCUGACCUGAGAGGCUGAUCCGCCACACUGGAACUGAGACACGGUCCAGACUCCUACGGGAGGCAGCAGUAGGGAAUCUUCCGCAAUGGGCGAAAGCCUGACGGAGCAACGCCGCGUGAAUGAUGAAGGUCUUCGGAUCGUAAACCUCUGUUAUUCGGGACGAACCUAUGUGUAAGUAACUGUGCACAUCUUGACGGUACCUAAAGAGAAAGCCCCGGCUAACUACGUG